AUGUCAGGCACUCUGGCUCCCGGUAAACAUUUGACUAUGGUGGCUGGUGUCUCUAUAUUCACGUUCCGUACAAUAGAAUCGCCAAUAACUAGAGCACUUUCAUCAGGUUUCUCAGUGGGUGCAUCACUGAGUGGGGAGAACCUGUUUAAUGUUUUGAUCGGAACAGAAGAGCGGUGUUUUGACCCACGACUACGCUGCCUCACCGUCACCCAGUUGCCCUGCUGCAGGGGCUCUGCUGGAACCGGACAAUGUACAGGAGUCCCUGAGCUAGACGCAUCCAAAGCCAUAUCUAGAGCCCUAACAUUCUUACUGUCCUCAAUUAAACUUUGGAUGUGUCUAGCUCAGGGAUUCCUGUACAUUGUCCGGUUCCGGCAACAGAGCCCCUGCAGCAGGGCAACUGGGUGACGGUGAGGCAGCGUAGUUGUGGGUCAAAACACCACUCUUCUGUUCCGAUCAAAACAUUAAACAGGUUCUCCCCACUCAGUGAUGCACCCACUGAGAAACCUGAUGAAAGUGCUCUAGUUAUUGGUGAUUCUAUUGUACAGAACGUGAAUAUAGAGAUACCAGCCACCAUAGUCAAAUGUUUACCGGGAGCCAGAGCGCCUGACAUCUUGGCAAAUUUAAAAGUGCUGGCUAAUGCUAAACGUAAAUACAGUAAGAUUGUUAUUCAUGCCGGCGCUAAUGAUGUUCGACUUCGCCAGUCGGAGAUCACUAAAAAUAACUUUAAAGAGGUGUGUGAACUUGCAAGCACGAUGUCAGACACUGUAAAAUGCUCUGGUCCCCUCCCUGCUUACCGUGGUGACGAGAUGCAUAGCAGAUUGUCAUCACUCAAUGGCUGGAUGUCUAAGUGGUGCCCACAGAAUAACAUAGGUUUCAUAGACAAUUGGACGAGCUUUUGGGGCAGACCUGACCUGUUUAAAAGAGAUGGUCUUCAUCCCUCCUGGGGUGGCGCCACUCUUCUCUCUAGAAAUAUGGCAAAUAGUCUUAGUGUUUAUACUUGACUAACUGGGGCCCAGGUCAGGAAGCAGACAGACUGGCUAAACCGACCGUCUGCUAGCUGCCUCCCGUCACAGAGGUCAGUUAAUUCUCAGCACAUAGAGACUCUUUCACCUAGAUAUCACACUAUAGAGACUGUGUCUGUUCCCCAAACUAGAAAAUACAAAAAACGUCCAAACCAAUUUAAGGCUAACAAUUUAAUUGAGGUUCAACAAAUAAAAAACAAAUGCAAUAUGGAUAAACAAACGAUAAAGCUUGGCUUAUUGAAUAUCAGAUCCAUUUCUACGAAAACACUUUCUGUAAAUAAUAUGAUAACUGAUCAUAAUAUAGAUGUGCUCUGUUUAACAGAAACUUGGCUAAAACCUGAUGAUUACAUUAUUUUAAAUGAGUCCACCCCCCAAGAUUACUGUUAUAAACAUAAGCCGCGUCUAAAAGGCAAAGGGGGAGGAGUUGCUUCAAUUUAUAACAACGUUUUCAGGAUUUCAGGUUUCUCUUCAUUUUAACUUUCUCAAAUAGAGUCAUGUUUCUGUAACCCCACUCCUGACCAGGUCGUAAAACUCUUUGAUCCCACUGGGAAACAGGACAGGAAGAAGCCAAGUCACUGGCAUCUUUUCUCAAUGAAUCCUAAACUAUUACUUUUUCAAUGUCAUCUCAAUGUAUAUAGUAUUGUUUUUCGGUGCAUCAUAUGUUUCCCAUAUAAAUUGGGACUAUCUGCAGUUUUAUCAUGUGUUAAUCAAAUCGUUAAAUGUGUGUAAUUCUGCAUUUGAAUGUAACUUCGUGUUUCUAUCAGUUAUAUAUGUACUGUUUGGUGUUUUUGGAAUUGUCAUGUGUGACCCAACUAUCCACCUGUAUAAAAGGUGUGUAAAAAUUUAUUAAUCUUGAAUUACGAACUUGCUAGAAUAUCAGUGCUGAGAUCUGACAAGCCUAAGUUAUUAGGGUGGGUGUUUCCACAGAGACAAAGGAACUUUUUCCCACUUCAGAUCGCGGACGUUCAUUGGUUGUUCACGCGAACAGAGGCGUGAACCAUCUCAAGCCAUAAAAGCUGACCGAACAAGGUCCGCCCUCUCUUCGUUCUCUUACACGCUGCUCUCCUGCUUCAAUCCUGGUCGCUCCCGCACGUCCCUCUGCGCGGCCUUGGGCCGUGCGCCUAUCACCGUCCCCCUCAGCACAGGGGCUGAGAGGACAGCCAUUCUCAUGGCUCCUUCGGAAGCUUUCGUUUUCGUUGUUUUGUUUUCUUUUUUUUUACUAAGUUUAUUCAACUAUUCGCCUCUCCACACAAGGAAGACGAAUUCUGGAACAUUGUUUGUUGAACCUUUCAAAUACCGCGCGAUUCCGCAGCAGCCCCAUGCCGGAAGACAGAACAAAGACCCCGCUCACGCUGCUCCAGCACACACACGCUGGUUUUAAAAGACCAGCGCACAAAGCGUCACAAAAAGACCACGCUCACGCACGCCGGACCAUGCAAGUAUCUCUCUCUAUGGAGAUUUAAAUGCUGCUUUAAAGUUGGUCUAUGAUUUGAUUCGUGUUGGCUUCUAAGGGUUACUGUCUGUGAUUUUCAUACCUGAGCUCAUUCUGUGAUCUCUCUCUCUACGCAUAUUCACUUUGUGUGAUUUGUAGUUUGAUGUAUUAUUAGUUCAUUUAUUAAAAACCCAUAUAUUCAUGAUUACCUCCAAACCGCUCACAUUACGAGUCAAUGAAGUUUCUGAUUUUUAGCUACAAGCUUUACUUUGAGACUAAAUUUAUCAUAAUGAUGGGAUAAUGUUUUUGUAGAUCGUUUGGUUAAAUGAUUAUG
This 2788-nucleotide long non-coding RNA is filed under the name Carassius auratus (goldfish). RNAcentral's name for it is "lncRNA (ENSCARG00000042154.1)". The record is from RNAcentral. Lineage: Eukaryota; Metazoa; Chordata; Actinopteri; Cypriniformes; Cyprinidae.